RNAcentral lists this ribosomal RNA (481 nucleotides) under uncultured bacterium. RNAcentral's name for it is "bacterial SSU rRNA". It matches the Rfam family "Bacterial small subunit ribosomal RNA", at positions 1 to 521 of the family's 1533-position model. The record is from RNAcentral.
GGGCGAUUGGGCCGAGUUUGAUCCUGGCUCAGAGCGAACGCUGGCGGCAGGCUUAACACAUGCAAGUCGAGCGGGCGUAGCAAUACGUCAGCGGCAGACGGGUGAGUAACGCGUGGGAACGUACCUUUUGGUUCGGAACAACCCAGGGAAACUUGGGCUAAUACCGGAUAAGCCCUUACGGGGAAAGAUUUAUCGCCGAAAGAUCGGCCCGCGUCUGAUUAGCUAGUUGGUGAGGUAACGGCUCACCAAGGCGACGAUCAGUAGCUGGUCUGAGAGGAUGAUCAGCCACAUUGGGACUGAGACACGGCCCAAACUCCUACGGGAGGCAGCAGUGGGGAAUAUUGGACAAUGGGCGCAAGCCUGAUCCAGCCAUGCCGCGUGAGUGAUGAAGGCCCUAGGGUUGUAAAGCUCUUUUGUGCGGGAAGAUAAUGACGGUACCGCAAGAAUAAGCCCCGGCUAACUUCGUGCCAGCAGCCGCGGU